Acanthosepion pharaonis is the source of this 114-nucleotide non-coding RNA. The record is from the annotation of a GenBank genome assembly. Lineage: Eukaryota; Metazoa; Mollusca; Cephalopoda; Sepiida; Sepiidae.
UUACGGUCAUAUCACGUUGAACUACCAGUUCUCGUACGACCACCGAAGUUAAGCAACGUCUAGCUUGGACAGUUCCUAGAUAGGUGACCACUUGGGAAUACCAGGUGCUGUAAG